This 194-nucleotide ribosomal RNA is filed under the name uncultured bacterium. RNAcentral describes it as "partial 16S ribosomal RNA". It matches the Rfam family "Bacterial small subunit ribosomal RNA", at positions 338 to 524 of the family's 1533-position model. The record is from RNAcentral.
CCUACGGGAGGCAGCAGUGGGGAAUUUUGGACAAUGGGCGAAAGCCUGAUCCAGCAAUGCCGCGUGCAGGAAGAAGGCCUUCGGGUUGUAAACUGCUUUUGUACGGAACGAAACGGUCUGCUUUAAUACAGUGGGCUAAUGACGGUACCGUAAUAAUAAGCACCGGCUAACUACGUGCCAGCAGCCGCGGUAAU